This 524-nucleotide ribosomal RNA is filed under the name uncultured bacterium. RNAcentral's name for it is "bacterial SSU rRNA". It matches the Rfam family "Bacterial small subunit ribosomal RNA", at positions 1 to 524 of the family's 1533-position model. The record is from RNAcentral.
UAGAGUUUGAUCCUGGCUCAGGACGAACGCUGGCGGCGUGCUUAACACAUGCAAGUCGAGCGGAAAGGCCCACUUGUGGGUACUCGAGCGGCGAACGGGUGAGUAACACGUGAGUAAUCUGCCCUUCACUUGGGGAUAACGUCCAGAAAUGGGUGCUAAUACCCGAUAUUCACGCAUUGGCGCAUGUUGGUGUGUGGAAAGGUUUUUCUGGUGGGGGAUGUGCUCGCGGCCUAUCAGCUUGUUGGUGGGGUAAUGGCCUACCAAGGCUUUGACGGGUAGCCGGCCUGAGAGGGUGACCGGCCACACUGGGACUGAGAUACGGCCCAGACUCCUACGGGAGGCAGCAGUGGGGAAUAUUGGACAAUGGGCGGAAGCCUGAUCCAGCAACGCCGCGUGAGGGAUGACGGCCUUCGGGUUGUAAAGCUCUUUUGUCAGGGAAGAAACGGUUCUGGAUAAUACCUGGAGCUAAUGACGGUACCUGAAGAAUAAGCACCGGCCAACUACGUGCCAGCAGCCGCGGUAAU